Argiope bruennichi is the source of this 752-nucleotide long non-coding RNA. RefSeq lists it as uncharacterized. Lineage: Eukaryota; Metazoa; Arthropoda; Arachnida; Araneae; Araneidae. The transcript has 5 exons. The record is from RefSeq and is a predicted model, not a curated record.
AUUUGAUAAAAUUGUCGCGUGAUAAAAUCACAAUAAAACCAUGUUUAGUUUCAUGACAAUUUUCUUUUAGUUUCAAAUCCCGAGGAAUGAUGCAGCAAACAACAGUCGUGGUUCAGCAGCCACCAGCCUACUCUCCUAUAGAUACUCAUGGCUACAUGAUAAUCAAUCCAGUACCCUUAUUCGGUGAGAAUUCUAUGACAGUGGUGUGUGGUAACUGCGGACGCCAAGGCCCCACCAAAAUAGUACCUGAAAAUGGAGUGUGCGCCCAUUUAUGCGCAUUCAUGUUGGCCUUCAUUUUCUUACCUUGUGCUUGCGUGCCGCUGUGCUCGGGAUCUUGCAAAGAUUACAGCCAUUAUUGUUCUUCCUGUAAUGCAAAGCUAGGGACAUACAAAAGACUAUAGAAAAAAAUUGCAAGAGAAAUCAAAAUGGAGAAACAAACGAGAUAUAUAUGGUAACUACAAACGUUAAGAAGACUUGCUUGAAAUGUUCUUCAUAUGGUACUUAACAACCAGUAGUCCUAUUUAUUUUGACUGUAGAAAAAUGAAAUGGAUCUAUAAAAAUGUAUAUUGAAACUAAAAGUUUGUACAGAGCAGUGGCAUCAAAUUUAAUGUAAUUUAAAAAAAUAGAAUAAAUUUUUCAUAAUACAACAACCUGAAAAAAAUUAUCUAAAAAAAUCUGCUGCUUAAAGAAACAAAUUGAUUCUAAAAACUUUUAUUUGAACAAAGCUGUAUUAAAAGAAAUUUAUUUGAUUA